Molecule: long non-coding RNA, 475 nt
Filed under: Mytilus galloprovincialis (Mediterranean mussel)
Lineage: Eukaryota; Metazoa; Mollusca; Bivalvia; Mytilida; Mytilidae
Source: RNAcentral
CGAUGUAGGCCUUGUGUAGGUUAAGUGUACACAAAACUAGACAUUCGGAACUUUAAUUUUCCCAUUUAUAUUUAAAAAAGAAACGAUUUUUAUAUGAAAUUGAUACUUAUAACACUUAUUAAUAAAGUUCUUUACAGAAAUAUUUGUCUAAAAUUGAUAUAUUUAUUGGUUAUAAAAACACUUUACGUAGCCUUAUUCACCCCUUAUCAAGACUCAUCCAUCAUCAUUGCCGAACACAUAAUUCAUUUGAAAAGGUCUUCCCGAAUCGACUGGAAGUACAUAUUGACAGAAAUAUUUGCCACUGGUCUUUACUCAAACAACGAUUCACUCAUAAAUGCAUUACUGAAAAAGGGUGAGGUUAAUUGUUUGUUUGUGUAGUAUCUCAGAUCCGUUAAAAUACAGUUAGAAAUUAAAAAAAAAAACAUCAUCCCUCCCUUUGCCAAAUACACCUUGGAGAAAAAAUACCAUUUGAAAC